This 514-nucleotide ribosomal RNA is filed under the name uncultured Glomus. RNAcentral describes it as "SSU rRNA". It matches the Rfam family "Eukaryotic small subunit ribosomal RNA", at positions 569 to 1085 of the family's 1831-position model. Lineage: Eukaryota; Fungi; Glomeromycota; Glomeromycetes; Glomerales; Glomeraceae. The record is from RNAcentral.
AGCAGCCGCGGUAAUUCCAGCUCCAAUAGCGUAUAUUAAAGUUGUUGCAGUUAAAAAGCUCGUAGUUGAAUUUCGGGGUUAGUAGGUUGGUCAUGCCUCUGGUAUGUACUGGUCUCACUGAUUCCUCCUUCCUGAUGAGCCGUAAUGCCAUUAAUUUGGUGUUGCGGGGAAUUUGGACUGUUACUUUGAAAAAUUAGAGUGUUUAAAGCAAGCUAACGCUUGAAUACAUUAGCAUGGAAUAAUGAAAUAGGACGUUCGAUCCUAUUUUGUUGGUUUCUAGGAUUGACGUAAUGAUUAAUAGGGAUAGUUGGGGGCAUUAGUAUUCAAUUGUCAGAGGUGAAAUUCUUGGAUUUAUUGAAGACUAACUACUGCGAAAGCAUUUGCCAAGGAUGUUUUCAUUAAUACAAGAACGAAAGUUAGGGGAUCGAAGACGAUCAGAUACCGUCGUAGUCUUAACCAUAAACUAUAGCCGACUAGGGAUCGGAUGAUGUUAAUUUUAAUGACUCAUUCGGCG